AGAACGAACGUUAGCGGCGCGCCUAACACAUGCAAGUCGAACGCGACGGGGGGCAACUCCGUUGAGUGGCGCACGGGUGAGUAACACGUAGGUAAUCUUCCCUCGAGUGGUGGAUAACCCUCCGAAAGGAGAGCUAAUACAGCAUGAGACCACGGUUUCGAAUAGGAACUGAGGUCAAAGCGGAGGAUCGCAAGACUUCGCGCUUGAGGAUGAGCCUGCGGCCCAUCAGGUAGUUGGCGGGGUAAAUGGCCCACCAAGCCUAAGACGGGUAGCUGGUCUGAGGGGAUGAUCAGCCACACUGGAACUGAGACACGGUCCAGACUCCUACGGGAGCAGCAGUGGGAAUCUUGCGACAAGUGGGCGAAAGCCUAGACGCAGGCGACGGCCGCGGUGGGUUACGAGUGAAAGGUCCUUAGGGUUACGUAAAGGCCCGUU
Molecule: ribosomal RNA, 435 nt
Filed under: uncultured soil bacterium
Lineage: Bacteria
Description: bacterial SSU rRNA
Rfam family: Bacterial small subunit ribosomal RNA
Source: RNAcentral